Molecule: long non-coding RNA, 1397 nt
Organism: Ornithodoros turicata
Lineage: Eukaryota; Metazoa; Arthropoda; Arachnida; Ixodida; Argasidae
Exons: 5
Source: RefSeq, a predicted model, not a curated record
GGUGCAUACAGCAGAUACGUGCACCGGGUCCAUCGGGCGUUUUCGCAACAUAAAUGAUAAUCUCCAUUUACAUUCUAUAAUAUAUCAAUUGUUUAUGGCCCUACCGCAAUUCGCCCGAGUCACUUUUUGUCGGUAAAUAUACCAGAAACAUUCUCGCAGAGUACCGAAAUCGAACUUUUGCGUAAUUUUCACUUUAGUUUGAAACCGAAACUUUAACGGCCUCGUUGUCGACAAGUGGAGCAGACUGAGCGCCAUCUGCAUCAGUACGUGUUUUGAAAUGUCGCGAGCGGUAGGUGGGUGGUAGCAGUUCCCGUCUUUCAACUCUUCAAGACGGGCAAAAAACGUGAAUGUCUUUGAAUCUCUACAGUCAAGUGCUGCAUUUUGCAUAGUUUCUUUGUCUCUACAAAUUCUGCACCACCUAAAUCACGAAAAACUACGAGCGACGCAUGUGACUGCAAUUACGAUGCUGGCAGUUCGUCAUAAAAAUGGACGACGCUUGCAAGAUACUAUGAAUCGUGCGGAAUAAAGGCCAGCGCGACUGAAGUGAGAAACGCUGCAAAUACAUGAAUACUGGGGGCCUGGCAAAAAUCAGCAAAGCUGCUACACAGUUCCCACAGAAUUCCCAGUUCACUCACAAUUGGCUUUGGGAUGGACAGGAUUGCUGACAGUUGGUGAGUCUAAGUCAUCUUCAGGUGAAGUAGCAUUGAUGUCUAUUAGUACCAAUUCGUGACAUGUAUUUUUUUGAGAUGCCAAAAAAUCUGUUCAGGGCAGUCUACAGAAUGCAAAAAAGAACGCCGCCGAAGCCCAUGGGGCACCAAGAACUGAUGUGGGAAGAAAAAGACACCACGACAGCGAAGACUUCUCCGAGUCAGACGUUUCGGACUCUGAAUGUAUUGUGUCAGCUGCUGAAGUAAAGAAGGCUAAUGAACAGGCCACAUACUGGCAGCAGCAUUGUGGAAAGAAAGAGGAGGAAAUAUCACAUCUUCCUUCCUGGCUUCUGUACAUAUUCCAGGCUAGCAGCACAGGCUGGCUCUCCUGCAGAGCCGCAACAGCAGUUCAGAAUAGAAACCGAUGCUGAAACCUGGCUCGGCUUCAAUAAACUACUUGCAAGUGGGUUCCGAAGGAACCUCGGAAUCGAUUCCUGGUUCCAUAACCGCCUUGCAAGUGGAUCCAUUUGAAAAUGGAAACGUGUUUCCAGCUGGAAAGCAAUUCCUAGCUGGAAUUCAUUCCUAGCUGGAAAUACAUUCCAAGCUAGCAAUCAAUUCCUGGUUCCAUAACCGACUUGCAAGCGGAUCCACUUAGGGAAUUUUUUCACCUGGGAGGUGGGCCGGGAUAUUUUCGCAAUUAAGACAACAAAACUCAGUUAUGCGAACUUCGAGCAGCAGCUGCUCCUUAAG